RNAcentral lists this transfer RNA (83 nucleotides) under Actinomyces slackii. RNAcentral's name for it is "tRNA-Val(gac)". Lineage: Bacteria; Bacillati; Actinomycetota; Actinomycetes; Actinomycetales; Actinomycetaceae. The record is from RNAcentral.
GCCGCCCAGGGGGUUGACCGUGCCCAGGCCGGUGACGACGGCCUGGUGGGCAGGCGGCAUCGGCUCAGGACCGCUGGGCGGCA